This is a long non-coding RNA of Styela clava, 377 nucleotides long. RefSeq lists it as uncharacterized. The record is from RefSeq and is a predicted model, not a curated record. NCBI's taxonomy places the organism in Eukaryota, Metazoa, Chordata, Ascidiacea, Stolidobranchia, Styelidae.
UUUUCAACCCGGCAACCUGCAAAAAGUUUUGAGGUCUAGAGGUGUCAGUUUGCAACCUAACAGUUCAAAAAAGCCAUUGCAAGAACAAUUUUCAAAAUGAGCAUCACUCCAUCAAUUCUUAGCAGGAUCUCUAUGAUCGUCUUCAUGGUUUCAAUAACUGCAUCGUUCAUCUCCGGAGUUCUUGGUGGUUUCGUCCCUGAAGGUGACAGCCCAGAAUCUGCGCAGACAUUCCGAGAAAAUGCAGACAACCUCCACGAUCAAGAAAUUUUAUUUCAUGGAAAAUCUUAGUUCAUCUUUGUUCAUUGAAAUGUUUAUUCGGAUUAUGUUUAAAUAUAUAUUGUAAACAGGAGAAUUAAUAAUUUAUACCGACGGGCAAG